GGGGUAGUAGCUCAGUUGGCAGAGCAGCUUCGAUGAGAUGGUCCCUUCCAAUCUCAAUGAAGCGGUCACGGGUUCAAAUCCCGUCUACCCCA
This 92-nucleotide transfer RNA is filed under the name Anaerolineae bacterium. RNAcentral describes it as "tRNA-Glu". It matches the Rfam family "tRNA". Rfam says of the family: Transfer RNA (tRNA) molecules are approximately 80 nucleotides in length. Their secondary structure includes four short double-helical elements and three loops (D, anti-codon, and T loops). Further hydrogen bonds mediate the characteristic L-shaped molecular structure. tRNAs have two regions of fundamental functional importance: the anti-codon, which is responsible for specific mRNA codon recognition, and the 3' end, to which the tRNAs corresponding amino acid is attached (by aminoacyl-tRNA synthetases). tRNAs cope with the degeneracy of the genetic code in two manners: having more than one tRNA (with a specific anti-codon) for a particular amino acid; and 'wobble' base-pairing, i.e. permitting non-standard base-pairing at the 3rd anti-codon position. Lineage: Bacteria; Bacillati; Chloroflexota; Anaerolineae. The record is from RNAcentral.